UGCAAAUAUCACUUCAAUGUAUGCAUAGGAAUGCAAUGUGUAGGUACUCUAUCUUCAUACCUCUGGGGGUAUAAAACCACAUCAUCUGCAAAUAUCACUUCAAUGAAUGCAUAUGAAUGCAAUGCAUAUGUCCUCUGCCUUCAUACCUCUAAGGGUAUGAAGCCGCAUCGUACCCCUUCUCGGGCAACGUACGAUGCUAAGUUGUACCGGUACGGUCGGACCAUAGGUCACGACAAAACUUCAUAUGCAAAUGAGUCAUGCAAUGUAUAUGGCAUGCUACAUUUAUCAAUAAACUUUACUUCCUUCAGAUACAACACAAACUCAAAUAAUACUUCAUUUACCUUCAGAUACAAUACCAACCUCAAAUAAUACUUCAUUUACCUUCAGGGGUGUGAAUUAAUCUCAUGAGUCAUACUCAAAUCAUAAUCAUCAUCAAUAUAUGAUUGAGCAUCAGUAUAAUGCAAGCAAGUAAAGCAUCACCAUAGAGUCCAAUUAUGAAAGAAUCUGAUACAUCUGAAUAUUAGAGUGUAGGCGAUAGAAAUAACAGGUCAGAACGGAAGCAACCACCGCUACAUUCACUUGCCUUCAUCGAAGAAGAAGAAAUGUACUAGACAUGAUCUGGAGUGUAGCCACCUGCUAGUGGGCAUAAAACUUAGUACAAAUAUUUCACAAACAUUUGCCAUCAAUCAACAAAACACUCCUACACUUGAAACCAAGACCCAGUGGAAAGACUCCCACCCUGAACCACAUGCCAUACAACAGCAACGCUGUUUGUUAAUUUUGUAUCUUUAAAAUUAAAACAGCGGUGAUAUCAAACAAAUACUCUAGGAGUAUCUACACAAAAUACUCUACAACUUCAGUAUUCAAUAGAUAAUUAAAUUCUGCCAUCUACAAGUUCUAAAACAUCUGACAAGAUAACUGACUGAAUCUGUUUUAGACAGCAGUAUGGUUAACUUUAAAAUUCGAUAUCUCCAAAACUGCUGAACCAAAAAUUAUGAAAUUCUUCUGGAAGUAAGAACUUUUAUCCCUCUACAAAAGUCUCCAUAGUUGGAAGAGCCAAUUCGGCCAUUUACUAGAUGAAACCCACCAGUGAACCGACCCACUCAUUUUUGUCAGGUAAACAGGAACAGCCACAGUAAAACAAACAUAACUGGAGUUUCACAAAUCAUAUGAAUGCACUCUUUAACAAUCUGGAAAGCUUAUAAAAUUAUCUACAACUUCUUUUACCAACCCACAGUUUAAUUCUGUUGAUAAAAUUGCCUAAAUCUUAAGAGAACAGAUUCUGCACAGAAUUAUGAGACUGAAAAACUGCUAUAGUAAAACUGCAAUAACUUUCUGGUCGGAUGUCCGAUUGAGGUGUUCUUCGCGGCCACGGAAAGAUCUACAAAUUAUCUACGACUCAUACAUAGACUUUUUAUUUUUUUGAGGCCACUAAGACCACGGAAAACUGGCAUGAACAGAAACUGUCGAAUCUGCCAUUCUGCAGAAAACUAAAUUCGAGAUCAAAACCUAACCCCACAUCAAAUCCAACCUCUAAUCCUUUAAUUCCCAUGAUCCACAACCUCCAAAAGCCUAUAAUUACAGGGAGGAACAAGGAUCUCAUCCAUACCUAGGGUUUCCCCAAGAAAUCUUCAAGAGGAGAUGGGGAAGAACAUCUCCUUGAUCCUCUCUUCCUCUUCAAUUCAAUGUGCCCCUCCUUUUCUCGAUCCUUGCUGCGUAGGGGGAGAUCUUGGGGGAGGAAGCAAUGGAGGAUGGCUGCCAUAGGGGGAGGGGGCGUCCAGCCAAGGGGGAGAAAAAGGGGGUGGCGGCCAAGAGGGGGUUGAAGGGAAAAAAGGGGUGGCCACCUAGGGUUUUUGUGGGAGAAAGAAACGACGCCUCAGAUGACUUCUAUCUUUGCAUCCAAUGGCCCACAACCCUUUACCUCAUCCACGCACCAGAGAUUAACUUUUGGUCAACAUUUUUUUUGGGAUAUUACACUCUACCCCCCUUAAAAAGAAUUCGACCUCGAAUUCGGCCACUCCAAGCAAAACACCCAAGGUACCCCAUAUAGCACCACAAUUCAAAACAUGGGUCCAUUAUUGGUCUUAAUUAACACAAGAACUUCUACCUUGGACUAAUUGUCUAAGGAAACUACACGACCUGACAUCAAGCAUGAAACAUGUAAUGAAGCUCAAAGCAUGUCAUAGUUGCAAUCAACACUCCAAUUUCACACCAUCAAAUUUGGAUGCAGCUAUACAUCAACAUCAAUGUCUUAAGACAACACUCUUUUAUGAAGGGGUAAUAUGCACCAAGCACAACCCUUACCAACUUCAACCAUUAAUUUUAAUUAAAUGGUGAAACAUCUACACCCGACGAAUGUAUAAGAAGAUCAAACACCUCACCUUAAAGCACUAUGAAACAAGUAGUUCUAUUGGAACAAAACUCCUAAUCUUCCUAAACCUUAUUCUUGCCAUCAUGAAAAGAUAAUCAUGUAAUCUAACAUUCCUUGCACCCCACCAAAAGGGAGAAAAUCUAUAGAACUAAUGGAGCAAUAAAGCCAAAAGAAGCCAAUAACAUCUUGUGCGGCAUAGUUCAUCGAAGAAAUGCCAAAAACUCUACAUAGAGCACUGAUAGCCCAACAACAACACAAUACUUGCUUAACCCAUGUCACUAUACUUCAUUCAACAUCUCAACUAAGAAAAAUAUCCAACUAGUAAGGAUAACCUACACAUAAUAUAAGUCUUCAUCUACUGUAGUUCAGAAACUUACAUUUCAUUCUAUCAUACGAUGCACUCAAAGUACCAGACAUACAAAGUCAAUAAUAAUAACCCCUAAUCCUUCACACAUUUGACAAACAUAUUAAGCUGAUGUAAACACCACAUGAUCUAGGAAUAGGUGACUAGCCACACCCAACCAACUCUAGGCUAGGCAAGGACUUCCUUCAAACCAAUAGAUAGGUGGUCUAAAAAAAUGGCUCCACAAGCAUGCAUCGAAAAGGGAACCAUCAGAUCCUCAAUGUAUCAAUACAUAAUCAAUGGAUCAAGAGAAUCAAAAAUUUAUUCUACAAUUAGUAUGACUAACAGGCAACCACUUUAAACCACAUCUAGGCUUUGUGGCAACUAAAACACACAAUAUGAGAGAGACAUGUAAGCCAUUCUGGCUAUGAAAAGACUUCCCCCAAAAAUCCAUAUAAAGUACCAAUAUUCAUUUCUUUCAAAACUGGUUUCUCAACAUAAACAAUCAUUCUUUGCAAUGAUAGUUGGAGCUAUCCACCAACCGCUCAACAACUUAAAUUCAAAUUGAUGAUUACCUUGUACCCCAAAACACGCAAUUCACACUCCUCUUAGAAACAUCCACAAUCAAGCAUAUAUAACAAUAUUAUUGUAAUAAAACUCAACCAUGAAAAACAUGGUGAAAACAACAUAGGCAUACUUGUAUAUCACAAGCAUAAUAACAACUUCAUUCUCACCAAUGACCAGCAAUAUCUACCACAUUAAUAAAACAAUAUCAAAAUUUCAGAAAUAAAUUAUAUCAAGCAUUAAGCCAUAAACAACUUACCACAUCACCGUAAAGGAAUAGGGAGGGGUGAAACUAUUGUCAUCUGCACUCCAAAGACAUUAAUAUAUAUCAAAGAUAUUUGAACCCAUACCCUUCCUAUAUGUGCAAGUGUGUCAAAUUUAUCUUCAAAUUGCCAAGAAUCUAAAGCCUAUGCUUUGAUACCAACUGUAACACCCCGGGAUCCACAAACACCCCAGAAUGCUACUAAACUACACAUCUAAUAUUCAUAUAUAAAAUUUCGACAACAUCUCCUUUGAAAAUUGCAUAAACGGGGGAAGCAACAAAGUAUAAAUAGAUAUCAUGAUAAGAAAACAUAUAAGACAUUAAUAAUCUGCUAGCAAUGGGAAGACAACCAUAACAACAUGAACUGAAUUAAUCAGUGCGCACGACUAGUUAAAAACAAACAUCCUUUGACAAGAAGUUUCUAAUUAAAUCAUGGCUGCGUCUGGGCAGCAUUAUUAUGAGAAUGAAGGUGGAUGUGCUGCUACUUCCCACUCCCCUUGAUGAGCAACAAGCACCUGCAUUGAGUAAUGCAAGAGUGAGAUGAAACAUCUCAGCAAGCUAAUUGUUCUGACGAGAUAUUUAAACCACAAAUUGAAUUCAUCAACAUUUUAAAAGAGUCACAAUUAAAAAUCAGAAAUGCUUGUAGAUAUAGAACUCAGUAGUCCCACUAUAACCAAUACCAUCUCAUUUCCUCGAACAACCACAAUAGGUUCUAUAACACUUCCCUGCGUCAACAAUACCUGCAAAUAUCACUUCAAUGUAUGCAUAGGAAUGCAAUGUGUAGGUACUCUAUCUUCAUACCUCUGGGGGUAUAAAACCACAUCAUCUGCAAAUAUCACUUCAAUGAAUGCAUAUGAAUGCAAUGCAUAUGUCCUCUGCCUUCAUACCUCUAAGGGUAUGAAGCCGCAUCGUACCCCUUCUCGGGCAACGUACGAUGCUAAGUUGUACCGGUACGGUCGGACCAUAGGUCACGACAAAACUUCAUAUGCAAAUGAGUCAUGCAAUGUAUAUGGCAUGCUACAUUUAUCAAUAAACUUUACUUCCUUCAGAUACAACACAAACUCAAAUAAUACUUCAUUUACCUUCAGAUACAAUACCAACCUCAAAUAAUACUUCAUUUACCUUCAGGGGUGUGAAUUAAUCUCAUGAGUCAUACUCAAAUCAUAAUCAUCAUCAAUAUAUGAUUGAGCAUCAGUAUAAUGCAAGCAAGUAAAGCAUCACCAUAGAGUCCAAUUAUGAAAGAAUCUGAUACCUCUGAAUAUUAGAGUGUAGGCGAUAGAAAUAACAGGUCAGAACGGAAGCAACCACCGCUACAUUCACUUGCCUUCAUCGAAGAAGAAGAAAUGUACUAGACAUGAUCUGGAGUGUAGCCACCUGCUAGUGGGCAUAAAACUUAGUACAAAUAUUUCACAAACAUUUGCCAUCAAUCAACAAAACACUCCUACACUUGAAACCAAGACCCAGUGGAAAGACUCCCACCCUGAACCACAUGCCAUACAACAGCAACGCUGUUUGUUAAUUUUGUAUCUUUAAAAUUAAAACAGCGGUGAUAUCAAACAAAUACUCUAGAAGUAUCUACACAAAAUACUCUACAACUUCAGUAUUCAAUAGAUAAUUAAAUUCUGCCAUCUACAAGUUCUAAAACAUCUGACAAGAUAACUGACUGAAUCUGUUUUAGACAGCAGUAUGGUUAACUUUAAAAUUCGAUAUCUCCAAAACUGCUGAACCAAAAAUUAUGAAAUUCUUCUGGAAGUAAGAACUUUUAUCCCUCUACAAAAGUCUCCAUAGUUGGAAGAGCCAAUUCGGCCAUUUACUAGAUGAAACCCACCAGUGAACCGACCCACUCAUUUUUGUCAGGUAAACAGGAACAGCCACAGUAAAACAAACAUAACUGGAGUUUCACAAAUCAUAUGAAUGCACUCUUUAACAAUCUGGAAAGCUUAUAAAAUUAUCUACAACUUCUUUUACCAACCCACAGUUUAAUUCUGUUGAUAAAAUUGCCUAAAUCUUAAGAGAACAGAUUCUGCACAGAAUUAUGAGACUGAAAAACUGCUAUAGUAAAACUGCAAUAACUUUCUGGUCGGAUGUCCGAUUGAGGUGUUCUUCGCGGCCACGGAAAGAUCUACAAAUUAUCUACGACUCAUACAUAGACUUUUUAUUUUUUUGAGGCCACUAAGACCACGGAAAACUGGCAUGAACAGAAACUGUCGAAUCUGCCAUUCUGCAGAAAACUAAAUUCGAGAUCAAAACCUAACCCCACAUCAAAUCCAACCUCUAAUCCUUUAAUUCCCAUGAUCCACAACCUCCAAAAGCCUAUAAUUACAGGGAGGAACAAGGAUCUCAUCCAUACCUAGGGUUUCCCCAAGAAAUCUUCAAGAGGAGAUGGGGAAGAACAUCUCCUUGAUCCUCUCUUCCUCUUCAAUUCAAUGUGCCCCUCCUUUUCUCGAUCCUUGCUGCGUAGGGGGAGAUCUUGGGGGAGGAAGCAAUGGAGGAUGGCUGCCAUAGGGGGAGGGGGCGUCCAGCCAAGGGGGAGAAAAAGGGGGUGGCGGCCAAAAGGGGGUUGAAGGGAAAAAAAGGGGUGGCCACCUAGGGUUUUUGUGGGAGAAAGAAACGACGCCUCAGAUGACUUCUAUCUUUGCAUCCAAUGGCCCACAACCCUUUACCUCAUCCACGCACCAGAGAUUAACUUUUGGUCAACAUUUUUUUUGGGAUAUUACAC
This 6259-nucleotide long non-coding RNA is filed under the name Zea mays. RNAcentral describes it as "long non-coding RNA (ZMAY_LNC003579)". Lineage: Eukaryota; Viridiplantae; Streptophyta; Magnoliopsida; Poales; Poaceae. The record is from RNAcentral.